RNAcentral lists this ribosomal RNA (1755 nucleotides) under Triticum aestivum (bread wheat). RNAcentral's name for it is "partial small subunit ribosomal RNA". Lineage: Eukaryota; Viridiplantae; Streptophyta; Magnoliopsida; Poales; Poaceae. The record is from RNAcentral.
AUGGGUAUGAACAUACUUGUGGGGGAAAUUCCAUAUAACAUCGGAUAUACCCUUCCAAACAUCCACACUUUGAUUAUGCAAGGAAACAACUUCACCGGACAAAUCCCCAUUUCAAUAGCCAACACAACCAAUCUUCAGGUGAUCAACCUCCGUGACAAUUCAUUCCAUGGUAUUGUUCCUUCUUUUGGGACUCUUCCUAGUCUAGUAGAUCUGAAUCUAGGCUGGAACCAACUUCAAGCAGGAGAUUGGUCUUUCUUAUUCUCAUUGACCAAUUGCACACAACUGGAGAAGUUGCGCUUGGAUGCAAACAACCUUGAGGGUGUCUUGCCCAAUUCCAUUGCAGGCCUUUCAAAGAGUUUAGAGUUAUUGUUAUUAAGAUCAAAUAGAAUAUCUGGCACUAUACCUUUGGAGAUACAGUACUUGACAAGCCUCAGACGUCUUUACAUGGAACAAAAUUUGCUUACUGGAAAUCUUCCUGAAUCAGUUGGAAAUCUUUCCAACUUGUUUGUCUUAAGCUUGUCUCAGAACAAACUUUCCGGAUCAAUUCCACUUUCUGUCGGUAAACUGAGUCAACUGAGUGAGCUCUAUUUACAGGAAAAUAAUUUUAGUGGCCCUAUCCCAGGAGCUUUAGCAGGUUGCAAGAAGUUAGAAACACUAAACCUUUCUUGUAACAGCUUUGAUGGGAGAAUACCAAAGGAGUUGUUUUCUCUUCCCUCCCUUUCCCAGGGUUUGGACUUGUCCCACAACCAACUCUCUGGACAGAUACCUCCGGAGAUUGGCAGCCUGAAAAAUCUUGGGCCACUGAAUAUUUCCCAUAAUCAACUGUCUGGACAAAUACCCCCCACUCUAGGUCAGUGCGUCCAUCUGGAGUCCCUCCACAUGGAGGGUAACCUCUUUCAUGGGAAAAUCCCUCGCUCCUUCAUAAGUUUGGGAGGCAUCAUUGAGAUGGAUCUAUCUCAAAACAAUUUAUCAGGUGAAAUCCCUGACAUCUUUAAGUCCUUUAAGUCUAUGAAGCUUCUCAAUUUGUCCUUCAACAAUCUCGAGGGUCCUGUACCAGCAGAUGGAAUAUUUCAGAAUGGAAGAAAGGUUUUUAUUCAAGGGAACAUGAAGUUAUGUACCAGCACGCGAUUGCUACGGGUGCCAUUUUGCAAUGCAGAGGCAUCCAAACAAAGGAAUAGCUCCAGCAUUCUCAAGAUAGUAGGAUUUACAGUUCUCUCUUUGGUCCUGUUAUCAUGCUUUGCAACCAUUAUUUUGAAGAAGAAAAAGAAACUCAAACAAGCAGCUCAUCCAUCCUGCAAAGAGUUGAAGAAGUUCACAUAUGCUAAUUUAAUGAGGGCAACAAAUGGUUUCUCAUCAGAUAACUUGAUCGGUUCAGGAAAAUAUGGGUCUGUGUACAGAGGUAGAAUUGAAUCUGAAGAACAUGAAGUUGCCAUCAAAGUUUUCAAACUCAAUCAACUCGGUGCACCAAAAAGCUUCAUUGCUGAGUGUGAAGCAUUGAGAAAUACUCGUCACAGGAAUCUUAUAAGGGUGAUUACUGCAUGCUCAACCAUUGAUCCAACAGGACAUGAUUUCAAAGCUAUUGUUCUUGAAUAUAGUGUUAACGGCGACCUGGGAAGUUGGCUCCAUCCAACAGUCCAUGAGGAUGGUCAGAGAAGGCCAUUGAGUUUCGGUACAAGAAUAGUAAUAGCAGUGGACAUAGCUGCUGCUUUGGAUUACCUCCAUAACCAAUGUGUGCCAUGGCACACUGCGAUCUGA